AAAAAAAAAAAAAAAAAUUUCAUGAAAAGAUUGUUCGCCAAUUAUAGUGAACUAUAACUAGCGAACUGUAGUUCGCUACUAUGACUGGCGAACGAGGGGUUGAAAACCUUGAUAUCGAAUUUUUUUUUUUCUUCACCUUGAUUUUGUAAUUUUUUUUUUCCUACUACCGUGAUUUGAAGCAAUUUUUACCUACUUUGCAAUUUUUCUACCAGUUUCACAUUGCGGCUACACAUGCUUAUUAGGACCUAGUUUACCUAUAGUGUGGAUUGCUCUAGUACAUAGUAGACCAGAAAUCCUUGUCUAGAAAUGUGGUAUGGCAGGGGUGGGCUUCUUUUGGAUCACUUGGCGAGAACAAAAUAUACAAUUACCAUGUAAUGAAUAUACAAAGUAUCCUUUGCUGGAUAACCUGGUGAGUCGGGUUACUGGCUGACUGCUAACCUCUAGGGUCUCUAGUAGUUUUAGUUCCCACUUGCAA
RNAcentral lists this unclassified non-coding RNA (475 nucleotides) under Hevea brasiliensis (rubber tree). The record is from RNAcentral. Lineage: Eukaryota; Viridiplantae; Streptophyta; Magnoliopsida; Malpighiales; Euphorbiaceae.